This 430-nucleotide ribosomal RNA is filed under the name uncultured bacterium. RNAcentral's name for it is "bacterial SSU rRNA". It matches the Rfam family "Bacterial small subunit ribosomal RNA", at positions 355 to 776 of the family's 1533-position model. The record is from RNAcentral.
UAGGGAAUUUUGCGCAAUGGGGGAAACCCUGACGCAGCGACGCCGCGUGAAUGACGAAGGCCUUCGGGUUGUAAAGUUCUGUCAGCAGGGACGAAUGUUAAGUGGUCCAAUAGGCCAUUUAAUUGACGGUACCUGCGGAGGAAGCACCGGCUAACUCUGUGCCAGCAGCCGCGGUAAUACAGAGGGUGCAAGCGUUAUUCGGAAUUACUGGGCGUAUAGCGCAUGUAGGUGGGUAAGAAAGUCAAUUGUGAAAUCCCGGAGCUUAACUUCGGAAUGGCAGUUGAAACUUCUUAUCUUGAGUUCGGAAGAGGGUAGUGGAAUUCUUGGUGUAGAAGUGAAAUUCGUAGAUAUCAAGAGGAACACCUGAGGCGAAGGCGGCUACCUGGUCCGAUACUGACACUGAGAUGCGAGAGCGUGGGGAGCAAACAGG